AGAGUUUGAUCAUGGGCUCAGAUUGAACGCUGGCGGCAUGGCUAAAACAUGCAAGUCGCACGAUUAAAGCCCCUUCGGGGGUGUAUAAAGUGGCGUAAGGGCGAGGAAUACGUUCCUACGUACCCUCAGGUCGAGGAUAGCCCAGAGAAAUUUGGAGUAAUACUCGAUGUGGUCCUUCGGGAUCAAAGACUUCGGUCGCCAGAGGAGCGGGGAACGCCCUAUCAGGUUGUUGGUGAGGUAACGGCUCACCAAGCCAAAGACGGGUAGCGGGUGUGAGAGCAUGACCCGCCGCAUCGGGACUGAGACACUGCCCGGACUCCUACGGGAGGCUGCAGUAACGAAUAUUCCGCAAUGCGCGAAAGCGUGACGGAGCAAUGCCGCGUGCAGGAUGAAGCCUCUCGGGGUGUAAACUGCUGUCAGGGUUUAGGAACACAAUGACCAUACCCAAAGGAAGGGCCGGCUAACUUCGUGCCAGCAGCCGCGGUAAUACGAAGGGCCCGAGCGUUAAUCAGAAUCACUGGGCUUAAAGCGUACGUAGGCUGACNCGCAGGCNCUUUGNGAAAUCCCUCGGCUCAACCGAGGAAUUGC
This 588-nucleotide ribosomal RNA is filed under the name uncultured bacterium. RNAcentral describes it as "bacterial SSU rRNA". It matches the Rfam family "Bacterial small subunit ribosomal RNA", at positions 8 to 624 of the family's 1533-position model. The record is from RNAcentral.